Long non-coding RNA from Acinonyx jubatus (cheetah), 1420 nucleotides. RefSeq lists it as uncharacterized. The record is from RefSeq and is a predicted model, not a curated record. Lineage: Eukaryota; Metazoa; Chordata; Mammalia; Carnivora; Felidae. The transcript has 5 exons.
ACAGAGGUCGUUAGAGCAUGUAACAGACAGAGGCUGCCUGCAAGCCUGGAGAGGAGGCUUCGUUGGAAGCCUACCUUGCCAGCCUCUUGAUCUUGGAUUUCCCAGACUCUGGAAUGUGACGUGUAACACACACAGUGACUCUGAUGAAUGAGAAGCACUGUCAGGAUUCCUGAAGCGGCCAGGACCUUAACGAGCUCGACACAGCCCAACGCGGUAACGGUUAUGGCACUGUGAGGUUCUUCGAAGCUUGGUUGGCUGAAUGAAUGAAACACGUCUGCAGCUGUCUGACAGGAGAGAAAGAUACGUACACUACCGAGCAGGCAUAGCAGCCCUGUUUACUGCUUUCCCGGACCAGGAAGGUGCCAUCUCGCUUCCCCCGGAGUAGGUUUUCAGCCUUGUUUCUGUUGCUGCUGCCGACAUUCCAUGUCUUCUCGUCGUGGUGCGGCAAAUCCUCAUCAUCCUCCACCAGCGAGUAUUGGCUAAGGAGGCAGGAGAGAAAGGUUGGACAUGAAGCCCUGGGAGAGGUCACCUCUCCCACCGAGCCCGUCAGGCCAGCCACCGCGGCUCUGACUCAGGCGGCACUUGGCCGUGGAGCUCAGCCUUCCAUGUGACCUCCCUGGACAAAGAGCCCCAGUAGUAAGAGUCUUCCUCUUUGUAAGUCAGGAGCUACAUGUAGGCAGCUGGGCAGAGGGGAAGGUAUCAAAUGAUCCUGUUGGUCCAGUUCAGAUCAGGAAACCGACUGACUAGGAGGACUGCCAGUUUCUCAUGUAAUUCAAACAAAACCCAGCCUUAAGCUUUAGAGAUACACUGAACAGAAUUGUGUCCUUUUUUUCCUCCCGACUGUUCCAGAAACCCACUGGGGAUUUUUACAGGUUUGGGGCCUUCCUUCUAGACAGAGUCACUCAAUUGCACUGUGGGUAAAAACUAACUCUGCAUCCUUCACUAAACUUUCCUUUUUUGUAACAUUCUGGAAAAUGCGACGUGGUUUACAGAAGAUGUUCCAAACUCCGUGAAAUUCCUCCCUUGGUCUGCAAACAAAGCAAGUCACGAGUUCUCUUACCAUGAAGACCCCCCCACCCCCGCCAGCCCCCGGGCAGCCUCCCACCUACGGGCAUCAAAAAGUUAAAUCUUCAUUUUGGAGGUCAGACAAGUUUGUGGAACUUUGAGUUGUUACGUCAAAUCCACUUGAAACUCCCAGCGACCUCUGCAAUUAUCAUCACGAGAACUUCUCAUUCUGACACUUACGAGCUUCAUUUAAAAGCUUCAAUAUUAUCUUCUUUGACAACUUGAUCCUGGAAGAAUGAGAGAUGGGAAGAGAGAAAACUUCAGUUCAUCGGCUAUGCAGUCCAGUAACUGGCCAUUCUCAAACUGUAAUUUUGUGACCACAGGUAUAAAGUUUUUGAAAUUUUAUUACAUGCAA